AUACGAAGGGGGCAAGCGUUGUUCGGAAUAACUGGGCGUAAAGCGCACGUAGGCGGAAUGUUAAGUUAGAGGUGAAAUCCCAGGGCUCAACCCUGGAACGGCCUUUAAUACUGGCAAUCUAGAGACCGAGAGAGGUGAGUGGAAUUCCGAGUGUAGAGGUGAAAUUCGUAGACAUUCGGAGGAACACCAGUGGCGAAGGCGGCUCACUGGCUCGGUACUGACGCUGAGGUGCGAAAGCGUGGGGAGCAAACAGGAUUAGAAACCCUAGUAGUCC
RNAcentral lists this ribosomal RNA (274 nucleotides) under uncultured bacterium. RNAcentral describes it as "partial 16S ribosomal RNA". It matches the Rfam family "Bacterial small subunit ribosomal RNA", at positions 523 to 796 of the family's 1533-position model. The record is from RNAcentral.